UACGAAGGGGGCUAGCGUUGUCCGGAGUUACUGGGCGUAAAGGGCGCGUAGGCGGUUUCUUACGUUUCCACGUGAAAGCCCCUGGCUCAACCAGGGAGGGUCGUGGGAAACGGGAAACUGGAGGCAGCGAGAGGCUGGUGGAAUUCCCGGAGUAGUGGUGAAAUGCGUAGAUAUCUGGAGGAACACCGGUGGCGAAGGCGGCAUCCUGGACCGGCAUUGACGCUGAGGCGCGAAAGCCAGGGGAGCAAACGGGG
This 254-nucleotide ribosomal RNA is filed under the name uncultured bacterium. RNAcentral describes it as "partial 16S ribosomal RNA". It matches the Rfam family "Bacterial small subunit ribosomal RNA", at positions 524 to 777 of the family's 1533-position model. The record is from RNAcentral.